Molecule: long non-coding RNA, 392 nt
Filed under: Elaeis guineensis (African oil palm)
Lineage: Eukaryota; Viridiplantae; Streptophyta; Magnoliopsida; Arecales; Arecaceae
Description: long non-coding RNA (EGUI_LNC030362)
Source: RNAcentral
GCUACUACAGCAACGGUCCAAAGUAGGGACACUGAAGAAUAUGAUGAUGUUCUUCUGGUUUCAGAUGAGGUAUCUACUUCUUUUCCUCAGUGGAUUUUAGAUUCGACAUGUUCGUAUCAUAUUUUUGUAGAGAGGAGCUGUUUGACUCCCUAGAGAGCAGUGAGGGCACUGUUCAUUUAUCGGAUGGAUUGAGCUAUGCGAUCAAGGGCAUUGGGAUGUCAGCUUGCAGACAUAUGAUGGAGCAGUGAGAAAGUUGGGUGAGGUCUAAUACAUACUCAGGUUUAGGAGUAAUUUGAUUUCACUGAGUAGACUAGAUUUAAGCAACUAUAGAUGGAGAGCUGAUGAUAGAAUCUUGAAAGUUGUGCAUGACAGUGGGAUUGUUAUGAAGGGGA